Molecule: ribosomal RNA, 489 nt
Filed under: uncultured bacterium
Lineage: Bacteria
Description: partial 16S ribosomal RNA
Rfam family: Bacterial small subunit ribosomal RNA
Source: RNAcentral
AUUGAACGCUGGCGGCAGGCCUAACACAUGCAAGUCGAACGGUAACAGGAAGAAGCUUGCUUCUUUGCUGACGAGUGGCGGACGGGUGAGUAAUGUCUGGGAAACUGCCUGAUGGAGGGGGAUAACUACUGGAAACGGUAGCUAAUACCGCAUAACGUCGCAAGACCAAAGAGGGGGACCUUCGGGCCUCUUGCCAUCGGAUGUGCCCAGAUGGGAUUAGCUAGUAGGUGGGGUAACGGCUCACCUAGGCGACGAUCCCUAGCUGGUCUGAGAGGAUGACCAGCCACACUGGAACUGAGACACGGUCCAGACGCCUACGGGAGGCAGCAGUGGGGAAUAUUGCACAAUGGGCGCAAGCCUGAUGCAGCCAUGCCGCGGGUAUGAAGAAGGCCUUCGGGUUGUAAAGUACUUUCAGCGGGGAGGAAGGGAGUAAAGUUAAUACCUUUGCUCAUUGACGUUACCCGCAGAAGAAGCACCGGCUAACUCCGU